Molecule: small RNA, 98 nt
Filed under: Paenibacillus sp. P22
Lineage: Bacteria; Bacillati; Bacillota; Bacilli; Caryophanales; Paenibacillaceae
Description: ctRNA
Source: RNAcentral
UCCGUCCGGAGAAGAUGACGGGCAAGCGCUAGGAAGAGAAAGAGCCAAGAAAGGGCAAAGCCCCGUCAUGUGAACAUGACGGGGCUUUUUUUGUUAGU